CCGCCUCUUAAUUAGAGGACCGCAUGAAAGGAACCACGACUCAUCAACUUCUAUGAAUUACACCACGAACUUUGCUUAAAAGUAAAAAGACUUUUAUAAUAUAGAAAGACAACAAGACCCUGACGAACUUUCCUUUAUUUAGCUGGGGAAGCUAAUUAACAAAAACUUAAACCUCAUCAAAAUACAGACCCGAUCCUAUCGAAUAAAAAACAAGUUACCGCAGGGAUAACAGCAUCAUUGGGCCCUAGAGACCUUAUCCAAAGCCCUAUAUGUGACCUCGAUGUUGAAUUAAUAACGCUACAUUUAGCAAAAGAAAUGCAAGUAGGUCUGUUCGACCUUUAAUAUAUUACAUGAUUUGAGUUCAGACCGGCGCAAGCCAGGUCAGUUUAUAUCUUCUUCCCCCAGAGUGCUAGUACGAAAGGACCCCACAACUAAUUAUA
RNAcentral lists this ribosomal RNA (440 nucleotides) under Sicarius crustosus. Its description in RNAcentral is "partial 16S ribosomal RNA". It matches the Rfam family "Bacterial large subunit ribosomal RNA", at positions 1969 to 2714 of the family's 2925-position model. Lineage: Eukaryota; Metazoa; Arthropoda; Arachnida; Araneae; Sicariidae. The record is from RNAcentral.